GGGGGGGUGCUUUACACAUGCAAGUCGAACGAUGAUCCGGUGCUUGCGCCGGGGAUUAGUGGCGAACGGGUGAGUAACACGUGAGUAACCUGCCCUUGACUCUGGGAUAAGCCUGGGAAACUGGGUCUAAUACCGGAUAUGACUCCUCAUCGCAUGGUGGGGGGUGGAAAGCUUUUUGUGGUUUUGGAUGGACUCGCGGCCUAUCAGCUUGUUGGUGGGGUAAUGGCCUACCAAGGCGACGACGGGUAGCCGGCCUGAGAGGGUGACCGGCCACACUGGGACUGAGACACGGCCCAGACUCCUACGGGAGGCAGCAGUGGGGAAUAUUGCACAAUGGGCGAAAGCCUGAUGCAGCGACGCCGCGUGAGGGAUGACGGCCUUCGGGUUGUAAACCUCUUUCAGUAGGGAAGAAGCCCUCUUUGGGGGUGACGGUACUUGCAGAAAAAAGCGCCGGCUAACUACGUGCCAGCAGCCGCGGUAAUACGUAGGGCGCAAGCGUUAUCCGGAAUUAUUGGGCGUAAAGAGCUCGUAGGCGGUUUGUCGCGUCUGCUGUGAAAAACCGGGGCUCAACUCCGGUUUCUGCAGUGGGUACGGGCAAACUAAAUUGCAGUAGGGGAGACUGGAAUUCCUGGUGUAGCGGUGAAAUGC
Molecule: ribosomal RNA, 648 nt
Filed under: Arthrobacter sp. IFC_YN1
Lineage: Bacteria; Bacillati; Actinomycetota; Actinomycetes; Micrococcales; Micrococcaceae
Description: bacterial SSU rRNA
Rfam family: Bacterial small subunit ribosomal RNA
Source: RNAcentral